Molecule: long non-coding RNA, 869 nt
Filed under: Monodelphis domestica (gray short-tailed opossum)
Lineage: Eukaryota; Metazoa; Chordata; Mammalia; Didelphimorphia; Didelphidae
Description: lncRNA (ENSMODG00000030934.2)
Source: RNAcentral
GUGCUUAAUCUCUUUUUAUUGUUUUAAACAGAUUUUUCACAGUCCUGGGGAUGGAAUGCGAAUGUCACUACUGUAUAUCAGCGAUCAGAGAUUUGGCCUCUUCAGCAAAGUUGGGAGAAAAACAGCCCUGAUAGCCAACUUCUGGCUGGAAAAACCUUUUAAAAGACUUAUCAGAACCUCCACUUAAGAUGGUGAUAUGAAAGGUCCUAAAGAAUGCAGCACUUCCACAAACAUUGCAAGAAAGGUUUUUUGUGAUCAUCCUGUUUGUCAUUUAUUAUGGCACAACAGCAUUUUAUUAAAAGCAUGUGCCGUGAGUUGUUCAGCCAUUCCCCAGCUGGUGAAUAUCCCUUCAGUUUCCAGUUCUUUGCUACCACAGGGGGAGUUGCUAUAAAUAUUUUUGUACAGGUCACAAACUGUCACAGGAUGGAGUUCCUUUGGUCAAAAAAACCCAGAGCUCAAAAUUUGCACAAUAACAAGUGCCAAGGAAAUCUAAAUUCAGAUGACUCUUCAGAAACAUGUCCAAAUACCUGGAGAGGUCCUUCGGAUAUAACUGAACCAAACUACUUGGAAGGUUUACAUAGAAAAUUCAGGAUUUUAUGACAUAUUGACAAGGAUUUUGCAAUAUUCCCAAAUUCACUAGAAAAAAAUCAUUAUUGCUUCAAGCAAUUUGUAAAUCUGGAAAAAAAAUUACAAUGUGAUCUACCUAAAUUGAGAUGUGUCAUUUGUAUUUCAUACUAUAGCAAAGUCCCAAGAGGGAUUAUUUUUUAGCGGGGGAUUUCCCUCUGUCAAUAGAAUUUUAUAGUUAAGAUGAGCAAAAGGUGGAUAUUUGGAAAUCAGGUGAAAGGGGAAAGGACUAGGUAAAUAUAUCA